UACAGAGGUCUCGAGCGUUGUUCGGAUUCAUUGGGCGUAAAGGGUGCGUAGGUGGCGCUGUAAGUCGGGUGUGAAAUCCUGAGGCUUAACCUCGGAACUGCAUUCGAUACUGCGGCGCUUGAGGACUGGAGAGGAGACUGGAAUUCAUGGUGUAGCAGUGAAAUGCGUAGAGAUCAUGAGGAAGACCAGUGGCGAAGGCGGGUCUCUGGACAGUUCCUGACACUGAGGCACGAAGGCCAGGGGAGCAAACGGG
RNAcentral lists this ribosomal RNA (253 nucleotides) under uncultured bacterium. RNAcentral describes it as "partial 16S ribosomal RNA". It matches the Rfam family "Bacterial small subunit ribosomal RNA", at positions 524 to 776 of the family's 1533-position model. RNAcentral also lists the same sequence under 1 other name. The record is from RNAcentral.